UUGAACGCUGGCGGCAUGCUUUACACAUGCAAGUCGAACGGUAACAGGUUAAGCUGACGAGUGGCGAACGGGUGAGUAAUGCAUCGGAACGUGCCCGAUCGUGGGGGAUAACGCAGCGAAAGCUGCGCUAAUACCGCAUACGAUCUGAGGAUGAAAGCGGGGGACCGUAAGGCCUCGCGCGAUUGGAGCGGCCGAUAUCAGAUUAGCUAGUUGGUGGGGUAAAAGCUCACCAAGGCGACGAUCUGUAGCUGGUCUGAGAGGACGACCAGCCACACUGGAACUGAGACACGGUCCAGACUCCUACGGGAGGCAGCAGGGGGGAAUUUUGGACAAUGGGCGCAAGCCUGAUCCAGCAAUGCCGCGUGCAGGAUGAAGGCCUUCGGGUUGUAAACUGCUUUUGUACGGAACGAAACGGUUCUCUUUAAUAAAGAGGGCUAAUGACGGUACCGUAAGAAUAAGCACCGGCUAACUACGU
Molecule: ribosomal RNA, 475 nt
Filed under: uncultured bacterium
Lineage: Bacteria
Description: bacterial SSU rRNA
Rfam family: Bacterial small subunit ribosomal RNA
Source: RNAcentral